Gambusia affinis (western mosquitofish) is the source of this 192-nucleotide long non-coding RNA. RefSeq lists it as uncharacterized. The transcript is spliced from 2 exons. The record is from RefSeq and is a predicted model, not a curated record. Lineage: Eukaryota; Metazoa; Chordata; Actinopteri; Cyprinodontiformes; Poeciliidae.
GCUCUCACUCCAGAUUUUCAUUGAAUCAUCAAACUCAGUUGCUGAAUCAGAAGUUGUUUAGUCAUCUGGUAAGAAUACCUUCAGUUUGCCCAAUAGGACCCAGAGCUACUGAAAGGAUAAACUCAGUUGCCUUCAACACGUCUGGGAGAUAAAACUUCCUGCAACUUCUUCCAUCUUGUGAUUCAGCCUCUA